RNAcentral lists this ribosomal RNA (464 nucleotides) under uncultured bacterium. RNAcentral describes it as "bacterial SSU rRNA". It matches the Rfam family "Bacterial small subunit ribosomal RNA", at positions 338 to 795 of the family's 1533-position model. The record is from RNAcentral.
CCUACGGGGGGCAGCAGUAGGGAAUAUUGCACAAUGGGCGCAAGCCUGAUGCAGCCAUGCCGUGUGUAUGAAGAAGGCCUUCGGGUUGUAAAGUACUUUCAGCGGGGAGGAAGGUGUUGUGGUUAAUAACCACAGCAAUUGACGUUACCCGCAGAAGAAGCACCGGCUAACUCCGUGCCAGCAGCCGCGCUAAUACGGAGGGUGCAAGCGUUAAUCGGAAUUACUGGGCGUAAAGCGCACGCAGGCGGUCUGUCAAGUCGGAUGUGAAAUCCCCGGGCUCAACCUGGGAACUACAUUCGAAACUGGCAGGCUAGAGUCUUGUAGAGGGGGGUAGAAUUCCAGGUGUAGCGGUGAGAUGCGUAGAGAUCUGGAGGAAUACCGGUGGCGAAGGCGGCCCCUGGACAAAGACUGACGCUCAGGUGCGAAAGCGUGGGGAGCAAACAGGAUUAGAUACCCGCGUAGUC